RNAcentral lists this ribosomal RNA (405 nucleotides) under uncultured bacterium. RNAcentral describes it as "bacterial SSU rRNA". It matches the Rfam family "Bacterial small subunit ribosomal RNA", at positions 355 to 776 of the family's 1533-position model. The record is from RNAcentral.
UAGGGAAUAUUGCACAAUGGGCGAAAGCCUGAUGCAGCAACGCCGCGUGUGCGAUGAAGGCCUUCGGGUCGUAAAGCACUUUUCUGGGAGAUGAGCAAGGACAGUAUCUCAGGAAUAAGUCUCGGCUAACUACGUGCCAGCAGCCGCGGUAAAACGUAGGAGGCAAGCGUUAUCCGGAUUCACUGGGCGUAAAGCGCGUGCAGGCGGUUCGGUAAGUUGGGCGUGAAAUCUCCUGGCUUAACUAGGAGAGGUCGUUCAAUACUACCGGACUUGAGAGUGAUAGAGGAAGAUGGAAUUCCCGGUGUAGUGGUGAAAUGCGUAGAUAUCGGGAGGAACACCAGUGGCGAAAGCGAUCUUCUGGAUCAUUUCUGACGCUCAGACGCGAAAGCUAGGGUAGUAAACGGG